CCGUCCUUCAGCACUGCACAAACGCUCUGCGGUCACACCCCGUCUCUCCUCGAAGCUUUUCUGCUGAUCCGUACGUUCGGUGCUAAAUUUAAUGUGCUAAACCCCUGCCGUGCGUGCAGGAAUUGUGUCAGCAGAAGAGGCCCCUCCUCCCCGGCGGUGCUGCCCUCAGCGUGUCUCCGUGCUCUCGGACAUUAACAAAUACCAGAUGGUAAACAGCUCAGCGCUGCCUUUAUCUGUAGGCCCACAGAGGUGAUACAGUGCAGGGAAUGCUUCAGCGGCUCUGAAACGAGGCCAGCAUCGGGCUGGAGGGCAGCAGCUGCUUUCUGCUGCGUGUUGUCACUGUGUGUGCUGCAGUCCUCUGCUUCUGACCAGAAAGGAGGGCAGCAGAGGUUUGGCUGAGUCAGAGGAGGUUCAUGGAGCGCUGUCUGCUGCCCAUCCUCAUGUGCGUGGCAGUGUCCUCCAGGUGUCGGCCCGGCUGCUGGGGGAGGACCCGGCCAUUGAGUCUCCCACACUGCAGUUUACCACAGGCUUCUCUCAUGAUAGUGCCUGGCCAUAUGUGAUUUACUUUGAUCUUGGCACAGAGUCCAAAGUGCUGGAAAGCAAUCACCCAAAUUCUGGUUGGCGAAGCGGGACGAAGGAAGAGACCCCCGCGGUCCCCGG
Molecule: long non-coding RNA, 660 nt
Filed under: Gallus gallus (chicken)
Lineage: Eukaryota; Metazoa; Chordata; Aves; Galliformes; Phasianidae
Description: lncRNA (ENSGALG00010028670.1)
Source: RNAcentral